GGAGGAGCGGAGGCGUCGCCGGGCUGCGGCUGCACGGAGGGAGAAGGCCGCGCUGAGGACGUGGUUGCCCGUCCCUCCCUUGGGGAUGCCGUCGACUGCACCCGCCUCGCCUGUGCCUGGCCUGGCUCGCCUCGUGGCGUGGGGGCGAAAAGGGACAGGCGGCGGAGCGCUUACCGGCCGUGGACAGGAGCUGCCCUAAGGGAAGCUGGAAUGGCCAGAGAAAGGUGAAGAAGAAGAAGAAGAAGAGAUGGAAGGCUCUCCGGCCGGCAGCUGCCUCCCGCUGCAGGCAAGAGAGCGCCUGCCUCGCCGGGCGGAGGACAGCCGAGCGACCGGAGCGACAGCAAAGGAAAGGCGGAGAGCGGGAGAAAGAAGCGUCUGCGCUGGCAAGCUCUCCCGGCAGCGCCGAGAGCCA
This is a long non-coding RNA of Grus americana (Whooping crane), 412 nucleotides long. RefSeq lists it as uncharacterized. The transcript has 3 exons. NCBI's taxonomy places the organism in Eukaryota, Metazoa, Chordata, Aves, Gruiformes, Gruidae. The record is from RefSeq and is a predicted model, not a curated record.